This 83-nucleotide transfer RNA is filed under the name Hymenobacter qilianensis. It matches the Rfam family "tRNA". From Rfam's summary of the family: Transfer RNA (tRNA) molecules are approximately 80 nucleotides in length. Their secondary structure includes four short double-helical elements and three loops (D, anti-codon, and T loops). The record is from Rfam by way of RNAcentral. Lineage: Bacteria; Pseudomonadati; Bacteroidota; Cytophagia; Cytophagales; Hymenobacteraceae.
GCCGGAGUGGUGGAAUAGGUAGACACGCAGCACUUAAAAUGCUGUUUCCUUUGGAAGUACGGGUUCGAUUCCCGUCUCUGGUA